This is a long non-coding RNA of Glycine soja, 533 nucleotides long. RefSeq lists it as uncharacterized. The record is from RefSeq and is a predicted model, not a curated record. Lineage: Eukaryota; Viridiplantae; Streptophyta; Magnoliopsida; Fabales; Fabaceae. The transcript is spliced from 2 exons.
CCUGUGAAAGUAUCAAGAUGUGACCAUCAGAGAGCAACAUAUCAAUCAUUUGAGGAGUCAAGAGUAAUUCUUUUCAUAAUCACACGAGAAGAUAUGCAACAUACAGAGUACAGCUGAGAGUAUGGAGCUUUAGUGCUUUACCCUUUUUUCCAGCAGAUAUUCUCGCUUAACCUUCCAGUCUUCUUCAGCUAAUGACUCCAAGAAAAGUUUAAAUAAGAACUAUUAAGGUUCUAUAAUGUCUUCAAAGUGCCAUGGCAAUUUAAUUUAGUAAGAGAAACUCAGAACAAGUACCUGGCGACUUUGCUGGUUUUGUGGCUGCAUUUUGGAUUGUUAAGCCUCUUGUGAUAUUCUGUUGGAGUGAAAUUUUUGCUGUGGGUUUGUAUGAUCUCACUCUCCCCCACCAUGAGUUAUGAUCGCGUGUAGCCUCUAAAGAAGGUACCAAAGACUGUAAAGAUGAUGUGGAUGAGUACUGUACAGCAAUUGAUGUAAAAGCUGCCAUGCUUUGAAGCUCAGUUUCAACUGAAAAAAAAAAA